UAGGCGGCGUUAGGGAGGGACCCAGGGGCCCGGGGGGGGAAUAGGCGGCGUUAGCAGGGCCCCAGGGGCCCGGGGCGGGAAUAGGUGGCGUUAGGAGGGACCCAGGAGCCCGGGGCGGGAGAGGCGGCCUCAGCAGGGACCCAGGAGCCCGGGGCGGGAGAGGCGGCGUUAGGAGGGACCCAGGAGCCCGGGGCGGGAAUAGGCGGCGUUAGGAGGGACCCAGGAGCCCGGGGCGGGAGAGGCGGCGUUAGGAGGGACCCAGGAGCCCGGGGCGGGAAUAGGCGGCGUUAGGAGGGACCCAGGGGCCCGGGGCGGGAGAGGCGGCGUUAGCAGGGACCCAGGGGCCCGGGGCGGGAAUAGGCGGCGUUAGCAGGGACCCAGGGGCCCGGGGCGGGAAUAGGCGGCGUUAGCAGGGACCCAGGGGCCCGGGGCGGGAAUAGGCGGCGUUAGGAGGGACCCAGGGGUCCGGGGCGGGAGAGGCGGCGUUAGCAGGGACCCAGGGGCCCGGGGCGGGAAUAGGCGGCGUUAGCAGGGACCCAGGCGUCCGGGGCGGGAAUAGGCGGCGUUAGCAGGGACCCAGGGGCCCGGGGCGGGAAUAGGCGGCGUUAGGAGGGACCCAGGGGCCCGGGGCGGGAAUAGGCGGCGUUAGGAGGGACCCAGGGGCCCGGGGCGGGAGAGGCGGCGUUAGCAGGGACCCAGGGGUCCGGGGCGGGAGAGGCGGCGUUAGCAGGGACCCAGGGGCCCGGGGCGGGAAUAGGCGGCGUUAGGAGGGACCCAGGGGCCCGGGGCGGGAAUAGGCGGCGUUAGGAGGGACCCAGGAGCCCGGGGCGGGAAUAGGCGGCGUUAGGAGGGACCCAGGGGCCCGGGGCGGGAAUAGGCGGCGUUAGGAGGGACCCAGGGGCCCGGGGCGGGAAUAGGCGGCGUUAGGAGGGACCCAGGGGCCCGGGGCGGGAAUAGGUGGCGUUAGGAGGGAGCCAGGAGCCCGGGGCGGGAGAGGCGGCCUCAGCAGGGACCCAGGAGCCCGGGGCGGGAGAGGCGGCCUC
Molecule: non-coding RNA, 1043 nt
Organism: Caretta caretta (loggerhead turtle)
Lineage: Eukaryota; Metazoa; Chordata; Testudines; Cheloniidae
Source: RefSeq, a predicted model, not a curated record